UACGGAGGGUGCAAGCGUUGCUCGGAAUCACUGGGCGUAAAGCGGACGCAGGCGGAACGUUAAGUUGGAUGUGAAAGCCCCGGGCUCAACCCGGGAACUGCAUUCAAAACUGGCGUUCUUGAGUUCAAGAGAGGAUGGUGGAAUUCCUGGUGUAGAGGUGAAAUUCGUUGAUAUCAGGAGGAACAUCGGCGGCGAAGGCGGCCAUCUGGCUUGAUACUGACGCUCAUGUCCGAAAGCGUGGGGAGCAAAC
Molecule: ribosomal RNA, 250 nt
Filed under: uncultured bacterium
Lineage: Bacteria
Description: partial 16S ribosomal RNA
Rfam family: Bacterial small subunit ribosomal RNA
Source: RNAcentral